Long non-coding RNA from Protopterus annectens (West African lungfish), 1165 nucleotides. RefSeq lists it as uncharacterized. NCBI's taxonomy places the organism in Eukaryota, Metazoa, Chordata, Ceratodontiformes, Protopteridae. The transcript is spliced from 3 exons. The record is from RefSeq and is a predicted model, not a curated record.
UGAAAUGCUCCUCAGAAGCACACAGAACGCUUGUUUAUAAGCCUAUUGGCAAUUCUCAGUGUUUCCCCAGCAGCAGCAAGGGAAAAAGGCAGAACAGAAACGGCUGUAGAAGAAAAGUGAUUAAAAAGCGUAAUUAGCAUUUGCCCCUGAUAAAUGAGCAAGCCAUUAAUUAGCGUGAUUUACCACUGGCUUUUUUUAUGAUCUCGAAUGACGGCGGUAUGACUAGCCCAUCGGUAAGUUUUCCUUUCACCAGUUGUCAGAGCUAACACCCUCAUUACGAGUCAGCGACGUCCCAAAGUUAAUGGAGAUGGCAACCCGCCAAAACUGAUAAAGCGGGAAGAUCUUCACUGGCUUACAGGUAGGAAGCAGGUCAUCUAGCAGCCAGCCAACCAUUCCAGCAGGGAAGCCAGCUAGCCCAGCAAAGACUGUGAUUGUAGUGCUGUCUGGGUGUCUUCUUCCUAAUUUCACCAGCUGCAAGCAUCGUGACCUCAUUUGAUAUUGCUGUUAUCUCUGGAAGAUCGGUUUACUAGCUGCCAACUCACUACCGAUGCUGCUUUCAUCAUAGAGUGAAAUGAGCCACAUGUCUUUGGCGUGCUGUUUCACACAUCUAAAAUAAUAUAUAUAACAAAGAAACCAUACUAAUUAGCAAAUUACCUGGAAAUAAAAAUAUUAAUAGAGAUUGCUUUUUUAGCAUAUAAAACAUUAUUUCCAUUUUAAUAUGUAUAUUAUCUUUCUUAACGUGUAACAAUAUUCUCAUUUAAUGUAUAUGUCAGUAUCAUACAUAUUUACUGGAUGUGUAUGUGUUCUGGAAUAACUAAGAUGAUAGUGCUUUGAAGUAUGUAAACCACAUGGUUAUCCUGAUGCCUAAAGAAAUGAUUAAUGCGAUCAACCUUUUGAAAACAGGACAUUAUAGUGUGAGUGUGCAUCCUAAAGCAUAUUAUAUACUUUUUUUAAAAAUGUGCACAUAAUUUGUAAUGAAAUUAAUUGUUACAAAAUGCAGGAAUUCCACAAUUAUGUUGUAUUAUGAUACAUUAGUUAUGACUGCAUAUCUAUUUUAAGAGUGAAAGACUGCACUUAAUGAAAUUAAAUAAAUAUAUAAUAUAUUCUGUAAUGAAGAAGAUGAAAAAUGUCUCAAAACACAAUUGAUCCCCAGUGUAUUAUUAGC